AAAAAGGAGCUCCAGGAGCACAGGCUGCAAGUAGCAGCUGUCAUCCGGGGACACCAAGCCUGGGAUCCAGACAUCCCCUUCAAUCCAGGAGAGAUCUGGGGUGGGGAGAGGUGGGGAGAUUC
This is a long non-coding RNA of Gavialis gangeticus (Gharial), 122 nucleotides long. RefSeq lists it as uncharacterized. The transcript is spliced from 3 exons. The record is from RefSeq and is a predicted model, not a curated record. Lineage: Eukaryota; Metazoa; Chordata; Crocodylia; Gavialidae.